UUAGGAUGCAUGCAUAUGCAUGCUUAGAUUAGACUGCUACUACUGAGUAUAGUAUUCACGACCUGGCAGUACAGUACCUGCUGCAUGGCAAAACUUUGACUUGAGUUUAUCCGUAACUGAUAUUCCGUCGCCACCUUCUGCCUGGCGCUUGUCUUCCGUUCUUGACCCUACCCACAACCUUCUAACAGAAAUGUUUUGGUCGAUCAAUUAACCCAUGUGCGCAUAUAGUCUGUCCUGCUAGUCACUGAUUAAUUAGCACAAGAGUCAACGUAAGAUCAGGGGGAUGAAGCUUCCAUAUUUUACCUUAUCCGUCUUGAUAGAGAGCUACAUGCUUUAAUCAGUAUGAAUUCCGCGGGAACCGGAAGCUUCUUUCCGGCCACGACAAAAGUUGGAAACAGCAAAGCAAUUUAUUCUCCAGAUUAUAUUUCUCUGCAUGAGUAUGAGUUAUUGUUUAUUUCGGUUGAUCACCUUCUUCAAGUCAUAUCAUUUUCUACGUUACCCUCCCCUCCAACCCCGUUACUACAUUACCCUCCC
Molecule: long non-coding RNA, 534 nt
Filed under: Setaria viridis
Lineage: Eukaryota; Viridiplantae; Streptophyta; Magnoliopsida; Poales; Poaceae
Description: long non-coding RNA (SVIR_LNC010937)
Source: RNAcentral